Molecule: ribosomal RNA, 301 nt
Filed under: uncultured bacterium
Lineage: Bacteria
Description: partial 16S ribosomal RNA
Rfam family: Bacterial small subunit ribosomal RNA
Source: RNAcentral
CAGUAGCCGCGGUAAUACGAAGGGGGCUAGCGUUGUUCGGAUUUACUGGGCGUAAAGGGUGCGUAGGCGGAUUGUUAAGUCAGGGGUGAAAUCCCGAGGCUCAACCUCGGAACUGCCUUUGAUACUGGCGAUCUUGAGUCCGGGAGAGGUGAGUGGAACUGCGAGUGUAGAGGUGAAAUUCGUAGAUAUUCGCAAGAACACCGGUGGCGAAGGCGGCUCACUGGCCCGGUACUGACGCUGAGGCACGAAAGCGUGGGGAGCAAACAGGAUUAGAUACCCCUGUAGUCCCUGUCUCUUAUAC